UUGCAUGUACGUAGACUGCGAGCAAUCCCUCUAUUUUCCUUCGUUUUAUUGUUUCCCGGACUAAAACGAAGGAAAAUAGAGGCAUUGCUCGUAGUCUAGCAUGCGUAU
Paramuricea clavata is the source of this 108-nucleotide non-coding RNA. The record is from the annotation of a GenBank genome assembly. Lineage: Eukaryota; Metazoa; Cnidaria; Anthozoa; Malacalcyonacea; Plexauridae.